CUUGAUUACUUCAGCAAAAAUUAAAAUAACAAAAAUACCAAACGCUGUUGAAUAUAUAUUUAAAACAGAAAGUCCCCCUAUUAAAUGAAUGAAAAAAUGAACUGAAGAAUUACUGGGUAUUAAGUUUCAAAUCCACCGAUUUAUUGAGUAUGAGAUAUAUUUUGUACUUAUUUUUUUAAUUGAAUAGAACUAACAUUUAUUUGAUUUCUUCAACUAUAAUUAUUUUUGUGCUGCUACAUUGUAUAUCAUUAUGACUAGAUUGGUCAAACUGAACAUUUUAGACUUUGGUUAUAUAUUUAUAUUAAAAGUAGGGGUCAUAACCAACUUUUUUGCAAGCUAUAAUUUUUGGAAAAAUUGUCAGAUUUUAAGAUUAUCAGUUUAAACCCUAUUCUGUGUGUAUAGAAAGAAAACUGAAUGAUCUAAUUUUAAAAUAAAAUAUAAGAAGAUAGUUCUUGUAACAUGAUUCCAGAUUAUAAAAAGAUAAAUAUAUGUCAGAGAUCUUGUUUUCUUGCUUAAAAAAAGGUUUAUCUCCCCUGCUAUGGCUUAAAUUGAAGCAAUUAGAAUUGACCAAAAAACUUGGGAUAAAAACGUUAUUAGAUAACACACAUACAGUCUUCAUGCUGAUGAAAAAUCUUACACAUGGAUUGCAAUCAUUCCUCUCCAAAAUUUCUGCUAUUUUACAUUUAAUGAAAAUAUAUCUAACACUCAGAUCAGUUUCCACUCAGGUUUAAAAGACAUUUUGAAAGUUUUGACAACACUCAGUCAGUUAUAAUUAUUGCAUGUACACUUGUUUGUGAAAAAAACAUAUUAUACUGUUAUACAUCACAUAUUUUAUAAUGCUACCCGGUAUGUACAAGUACUAUAAAUUAUUUGUUAGGUUGUUAUCAGUUUCAAACAUGUUUAUUUCCUUUUAAUUAAAUUGUACCAUGACAUAUUGUCAUUAUUAUAUAGUGUUUCACCCAAAUGAUUCACCAUCAACAUUUAGGUACCAGCAACUUCUUCAGGUUCCAUUGACAGUUUCACUAAUUCGUAAUAAUAAAAUUGAGAAAGGAAAUGGGGAAUAUGUCAAAGAGACAAUAAUCUGACCAAAGAGCAAAUAACAGCUGAAGGCCACCAAUGGGUCUUCAAUGCAGCAAGAAAAUCCUGCAUCCUGAGCUGGGUCUCAGCAGGCCCCUACAUAAAAUGUGAACUGGUUCAGUGAAAAUGGACGUCAUACUAAACUCCAAAACAUAUAAAUGAACUAGAAGUUAAAACACAUACUAGACUAACAAAGACCAGAGGCUCCUGGCUUGGAAAGGCGCCAAAAUGUGGCGGGGUUAUCCCUGUUUUGUGAGAUCUUAACCUUCCCCCUAUACCUCUAGCAAAUGUAAAAUAAACAAAC
This 1381-nucleotide long non-coding RNA is filed under the name Mytilus galloprovincialis (Mediterranean mussel). The record is from RNAcentral. Lineage: Eukaryota; Metazoa; Mollusca; Bivalvia; Mytilida; Mytilidae.